UACGUAGGGGUCGAGCGUUGUCCGGAGUUACUGGGCGUAAAGGGCGCGCAGGCGGCUUUGUUUGUCAGGCGUGAAAGCCCCGGGCUUAACCUGGGAACUGCGUUUGAUACGGCAGGGCUAGAGUUCGGGAGAGGAGAGUGGAAUUCCCAGUGUAGAGGUGAAAUUCGUAGAUAUUGGGAAGAACACCGGUGGCGAAGGCGGCUCUCUGGACCGAUACUGACGCUGAGGCGCGAAAGCGUGGGGAGCAUACGAGG
Molecule: ribosomal RNA, 254 nt
Filed under: uncultured bacterium
Lineage: Bacteria
Description: partial 16S ribosomal RNA
Rfam family: Bacterial small subunit ribosomal RNA
Source: RNAcentral